CCUACGGGAGGCAGCAGUGGGGAAUCUUGCGCAAUGGGCGAAAGCCUGACGCAGCAACGCCGCGUGCGGGAAGAAGGCUUUCGGGCUGUAAACCGCUUUCAGCAGGAACGAAAAUGACGGUACCUGCAGAAGAAGGAGCGGCCAACUAUGUGCCAGCAGCCGCGGUGAUACAUAGGCUUCAAGCGUUGUCCGGAUUUAUUGGGCGUAAAGAGUUCGUAGGCGGUCGAGUAAGUCGGGUGUGAAAAUUCUGGGCUCAACCCAGAGACGCCACCCGAUACUGCUUAACUUGAGUUCGAUAGGGGAGUGGGGAAUUCCUAGUGUAGCGGUGAAAUGCGCAGAUAUUAGGAGGAACACCGGUGGCGAAGGCGCCACUCUGGAUCGAUACUGACGCUGAGGAACGAAAGCAUGGGUAGCAAACAGGAUUAGAUACCCUGGUAGUCCAUGCCGUAAACGGUGGGCACUAGGUGUGGGAUUCGUAUUAACGAAUUCCGCGCCGUCGCUAACGCAUUAAGUGCCCCGCCUGGGGAGUCGGUCGCAAGACUAAAACUACAAAUAGAAUUAGACGGCCGUGGAGACGACGCGACGACGACGACGAGGAGGAGG
Molecule: ribosomal RNA, 603 nt
Filed under: uncultured bacterium
Lineage: Bacteria
Description: bacterial SSU rRNA
Rfam family: Bacterial small subunit ribosomal RNA
Source: RNAcentral